CUACGGGGUGCAGCAGUGAGGAAUAUUGGACAAUGGAUGGCAAUCUGAUCCAGCCAUGCCGCGUGAAGGAAGAAUGUCCUAUGGAUUGUAAACUUCUUUUGUAUGGGAGCAAUAAGUUGUACGCGUACAAUGAUGAGAGUACCAUACGGAUAAGCAUCGGCUAACUCCGUGCCAGCAGCCGCGGUAAUACGGAGGAUGCGAGCGUUAUCCGGAUUUAUUGGGUUUAAAGGGUGCGUAGGCGGUUACUGUAAGUCAGCGGUGAAAUUUAGGGGCUUAACCCCUACCGUGCCGUUGAUACUGCAGAGCUGGAAUAGGGAUGCUGUUGGCGGAAUGUGUAGUGUAGCGGUGAAAUGCAUAGAUAUUACACAGAACACCGAUUGCGAAGGCAGCUGACAAAUCCCUUAUUGACGCUGAUGCACGAAAGUGUGGGGAUCGAACAGGAUUAGAUACCCCGGUAGUC
This 460-nucleotide ribosomal RNA is filed under the name uncultured bacterium. RNAcentral's name for it is "partial 16S ribosomal RNA". It matches the Rfam family "Bacterial small subunit ribosomal RNA", at positions 339 to 795 of the family's 1533-position model. The record is from RNAcentral.